This 100-nucleotide transfer RNA is filed under the name Chloroflexota bacterium. RNAcentral describes it as "Chloroflexi bacterium tRNA-Thr". Lineage: Bacteria; Bacillati; Chloroflexota. The record is from RNAcentral.
GCCGGACAACAGGUCUACAGAGACUGUCCCGACCUACCCGGAACCGUGGGUCGGCGGUUUUGUAAACCGCAGGUUGUGGGUUCGAGUCCCACCCUGGGCU